Xenia sp. Carnegie-2017 is the source of this 1058-nucleotide long non-coding RNA. RefSeq lists it as uncharacterized. The record is from RefSeq and is a predicted model, not a curated record. Lineage: Eukaryota; Metazoa; Cnidaria; Anthozoa; Malacalcyonacea; Xeniidae. The transcript has 3 exons.
ACACACUGCACGCAAUGUUUUACCAUAGGACAAACCUGUGAAAGACAUUAAGAAUAAAAGGCUGUUUAUCUCAUUGAACGAAGAACCAUCCAAACAACUUUCGCCGAAAAUCAAAGCUCCACGUACAAACAAUCACUGAAGGCACAAACGCGUAGAUGGAUUUCAAAUACAGCGCGUGGAUGGUUUUAACUCUCACAAUAUCUUUUUCCAAAAGCGGAAAUGGCAACAAACUGAGAAUAUUUCGUCAUGAACGAGAUAUAUUUACCAACUUGAAUUAUUCAAGUUCACAAACUGAAAGAGAUCAUAGUCAUGACUGUAUGAAGUACAACGCUGAAUGCCAUUUCAUCACUAAGUGUCGUCAUUGUGUGUGUAAAGAGGGAACGAGCACUUUCGUUAUUUAUGGCAAUGGUGAGAAUAACAAAGGAAGUUGUAUUAAAGACGAGGAAUUGAAUCUAGAAUCAGAGUCAAUUAUCGAGGCAUUUACUCUUGAAAAUAGUGAAGAGAAUGUUUGAAACAAGCUGGAAGACUUGUGAUUGUUACGACUUGUGGAAAUUCAUUGGAUGAGAAAUGGAUACGUCUCAAAAAUAAACAACUCAUGAAUGUGAAAUCACUUCGUUGUAUUACAAGAAGUAAAAAAGAUGGUGGACAAUUAACGAUGAGCCAGUGUAGAAAAAACUUAAAUCGGCAAAAACUAAGGUGCGCAAACGACCCGCCAUACUCAAUUUUCUUUCGGAAAAACGGCAAGUUUCUUUGGCAAAGAUGGUACAUAGGACAAAAUGAAAACAGACAAGGCAUUUCCACGUCACAACCCAGACAGUACUGGAAAGCACACAAAAAUGAUCAAGAGGUCGAUGUUUGCGAGAAAUCAACAGAACACAAAGGAUGCUAUCGUCUUUCUGAUGGCAAUUUCGCAAAGUAUUUGAGUUUUAACAAUAACGGAAAUGUGGAAAAAUUCAAUAUCUCUGCGCCGAUCUACCAAGAAAAUUAUAAUUGCAUAGUGGAAGAAAAUUUCGAAUAUACCAGAGAUGGCAAGGAAACAUACAAAGACUCAAAAAAUC